UAGUUUGUGGAUGUGGAUCGGAUCCGUUGUUGCCGUGGCUGUGGUGUCAGCCGAAGCUAUAGCUCUGAUUCAACCUCCAUGUGCCUCAGGUGCAGUCGUAAAAAGAAAAAUCAAGAGGCAGAAUGUGAGAAGUGGUGCCAUGAGAUGCCAGUGGGAUAAUAAAUGAGAAACAGCUGUGUCGAUUGAGUGCCUCCUUCACCCCAGGGCUGUGGCACCUGCUGCUUUGAGAUGCACUUAGUCCUUGUAUCAACCCCACAAACUAAGGAUUGCUGGUGCCCCCAUUAUACAGAGGAGGAAACUGAGGCUCGGAGAGGUGGAAUAAGGUGUCCUAAUUCACAUAUCUAGCACAUUGCAGGGCCAGGAUCUGACCUCAAGAAGUUGGCUCCAGAGGCUACACUGCUACCAAGUCACAGCACAGUAGUUAAAUGCUAUGGUUUGUUGGAAAGGGUCAAAGACACCCUCAUAGCCACAGGCAAAACUCCUCCCAGCUAAGAUGAUCCCUUCCUAAGAGAUCAGAAGCUCUAUGUUGCCUCUGGCCAGGCCAGAAGGACAGCACAGAUCUGAAUGAAAACACCAGCACCAAUGCAGCUGGUCCUGGCCUCCACUGGGCCCAUCACUCUACUUUAGGUCCCACAGUCUGUGCUGCUUCUGUGCUGACCGCAGCGGGAGGCCGAGUGCAGCCAGGCCCCGCCAGCCAGGCAUUCUGUGGACCAGGUGAGGGCUGCCAGGUGUGGCUGGGGUGGCAUUUACUCUGUGGCCAUCCUGCCUCUGCUCGGAGACGAGGCAGCUCCCGGGAGCAUCGUAAACCCAGCUGAGGCUGAACCAAGAUAGCAGUCCUCAUCCUCCAUCCCCUGUCACUGGACAUCCUGUAUUCAAUCACCCACAUAUUCAUUUCUUUUAAUCAUUCUCUUCUUGACUGUGAUAAAGUCAUUUUUAUAGCUCCGA
Sus scrofa (pig) is the source of this 945-nucleotide non-coding RNA. The record is from RefSeq and is a predicted model, not a curated record. Lineage: Eukaryota; Metazoa; Chordata; Mammalia; Artiodactyla; Suidae.